UUCUGUAACUUGAUACUCCUUUAAUUUUAGCGAUUAGUGCUAUUGAGUAAGACCCUAGUGCCUAGGAUGAUUUUCUGGCCUCACCCUGGAUGUACCUUGCCACUGCAGGCCUAGCAGGCUAUUUUUGGAUCUGACCCAUGGAUUGUCUUCCUGGUUGACUUUGAACCUGCCUCAUCACCCUGAACAUUUCUAGAUGUCUCUAGUUACUUAGGGUCUUGGCUGAGCUUGGCUGCUUUCCAGGCUGGCUUUGCCCGGAUGUGUGUGAUGGGCUGGUAAGGCCCUUAUGCUGCAAGUCCUUGCUGCUCCUUCAUGAUGUGCUUGGUGCCUUGAAUGUAGAAAAUCUCUUUGAAAUUCCUACAUUUGCUGUUUUAGCUGUGGAACUGUCCCCUCUUCAAAGCAGAUGAUGAAGAGAUGAAGGCCAACAUAAUACUACUGAAGGUUGCCUAAAAGGGACUGGAAACCACCAAGGGGAGAGGAAAGAAGACUGUGAGUGAAUGUUGUUACUCAGGUAACAGGCUUUAGCUUCAUAGGAAAUGAAAACAAAAGAGGAGAGGAUAUUGCUCACCUGUAGCUGGAUCUGAAAGAGCCCAAGAACAUGAAAGUCAAAAUAAUCAGUAAAUGCUCACCAUUUAUUGUCCUCCAUGCCACUGAGCAUUAUUUGGCUUCCCUGUCUCUUGAUGUCCUGUUGCCUUAGUCAGAGAGCAGAGAUCUUGAGCAAGCCGUGUAAUUUCCUUCUCCACUUCAGGGCCUGCCAGGGAAGGCAAGGGGCUUCCAGCUGCCUUGGACAAGCAGGGGUUGCCGAUCCUACGGGCUAGUGGCCAGUACAUUUGCUUUGUUCAUUGUAGCCUUUAUUGGGAUGUGAAGAGUGCCAGCCACGGAUUUCAUUAAUUCCACCAUCAGUAGGUCUGAAUUCAUUGCCACUAAUACAAUGCCUUUUUCUAUGUACUGUGCCAGGGGUAUUUUUUUGACACCAUGUGUGACCUCCUGUUAUUUCUCAACAAAUGUUGGCAGGCGCAACACAGCCGGCAGAGCAAAACAGCACAGUGUGUCACAAACUGCUGAGUGCAUCCAUGCUGAAAUGAACAGCCAAUUCCAAAGUGGGCUGAAAACGAAAUCAGGGAGAAAAGAAUACAUACUAAUAUUGCUCCCUGCUCCUCCAGCUUUGCUUCCUUUUGCACAUUACCUCCCUUGAACUGGACUUGGGCAACAACUAAAACAAGAUUGUAUUUUUUUUUUCUUUUCUAGUCAUCCAAAAAUUCUCCAUACUACUGUAACUGCUGUUUCAAAGAUAAUUCAAAGCAAUUUACCAAUCAGUUCCUUCCUCUAAAUUGAUGUUCAUCCCACUUCUUGCCUUCUACAGAAAGUUUUGACCUGGUCAAAUAAUCACAGAUAACUCCUGUGGUAAAUGGUGAUUAUCACCAUAACCUCACUUUUCCCUCCCUCCUUUUUCUCUGGGGAGUAGUUUCUCCCCUCCAUGUAGCUGUGUACUUCCUGCUGUGGAAGAGGAGAGCAGGGAGAAGUGUUGCAGUCAGCUGCAGGCAGCCUGAGCUUGUCCAGUGACAGAAAUAGUUGUGAAAGCUUUAACAGCGCCGAUGCAGGACAGGGCUGUGUAAUGUUGCAGUAUGUAGGGGAUACUGGGUCUGCUUCCUUAUUAAUAAUUGCCUGCAUCAUAUGCAGCCAUGCCAGAAACUCCCCACCACACUACCUUGGUCUCACUGCAUGCCUCUCCCCUCUGCUCAAGCCAACGAGGGGCUCAGUCACUGCUGCCAGCACAGGGCUCUGCCUCACGCAUUCAGCCCUUGGGGAAUUCAGCUCAGGUUGGUUAACGGUGUUCGGCUCUGUCCCUCAGGGUGCCUAAUACGCAUUGCAUUUGGGCUCAUCUCCUCACGGGGUUUUAUUUAGCAGCUGUCAGCUCUGGUGUGAUUAAUUUGACCUGUCUUAGGAUGACCGCGGUACGAGGUAAAUGCUCACAGAGCAGAUUCAUGCUGGGCACCCUCUGCACUCUGUCAGCCCUGCACGUUCUGUGGGCUCAGUACGGGGUGCUGGGCUUGAGUCUAGAGACAAGUUCCCCUGCCAACAUGCCUUUCAGGAAAGCAAGGCAAAAAGAAAUAGCUUCAAUACAACUAUCCUGCAAGCCUGGUUCUGUAGAGAAUUGUCAUUUUUUUGGCAUCAAGGAAAGCAUUUUAAAGUUGAUGAGAAAAGGCAAUAGGCUGAUUUACUUGGAUGCUUCAGUGUUUCUUUGACUUUAGCCAGGGGAGGCCACAAGGGGGGUAGAGAAAACCAAAAUAGAAUGCUGCACAAGGCUUGUUUGUAUGCACUGGGGCUUGCAGACACUUGCUAAACUUGUACCUGCACGUGGGCCAAGUGGAAAAGGAGGGCAGGCAAGAGUAAAAAGCAAUCAGCCCUUGCAGAGGCAGAUUAACUUUCACUGUCAGCUGCCACAAGUGAUGCCGUGUGGCCUGGAAAAGUUCUUGAACAAAGCAUGUGGAUGUGGGGGGGUGUCCUAUACUUGCAUGUUCAUGUCCUCUCUGCAAUCAGUCUCCCUUGGAGAGGAGUUUGGCUGUUGCAGCUCCUCUGACUGCACCCUCCCCUCCCUUCCCACGGGAGUGGGCCUGUAGAGCUGGGGCCCACCACAUGGCACUGGUGAGAUAAAAUACCCUGCAAGAAGUACUCCUAGAAAAAGCCAUGUCCUUGGAGACUUUGACUUCAGAAUCCCAGUGCAUUUAGGGAUGGAGAUGCAAGAAAACCCAUGAUCCCAUUGCAAUAGGGAGCACUGUGUUGCAUCUCUGGAGUAGCAGCACAUGAUGGCUCUUUCUGCAACAGCUGCUGGACCUGUUACAGCAGAGAAACAUGGGUGGAGAGGGUGACUGGUCUUGUGCUGCUGUCUCUGGUGAUACUUAGAUCCUUUUUCUGCUACUGUAGGAAACAAAUGAGACCAGAACUCACUGCUCCUCCCCUUUGCUGUCUUUUUGUUGUUAGUAUCCAGGGGCUCAAACUCAUUUGCACCUGCUCUCACAGGCCUUCUGUGGGUUUUGGUCACAUCCUUUGGAAACCUAGCCCAACAGUUGGGUACUGGCAGUUUUUCAUUUUCUGGCUGACCUAGCAAAAAUUUCUGGAAGUGGUCUUGGCUUCUGGAGUUGUGGUGUAUACUGCUUGUCUUGCCCCAUGAGGUCUGAAUUAGAUUAGGACUUGCUUUACAGGAAAUCUUAGAUAACGCCUGCCUGUGUUCACAGCUCAGCUCCUUGGGUGUAGCCCAGUAGUCUGAAUAGACUGUGAUUUACUGCCACCAGUGGAAUGAAACAAAAUCACUUUCUCUGAUUUAUAUCCCCUAUUGUAGUUAAAUAUUUACACAGUAUCAAGAUCUUAGUAAUUGAAUGGCUAACAGAUAGGCAACAAGUGUUUAUACACCUCUGAAAUGGCCACAGGGCCAUUGAGGUAAUGAUAUUUCAAACUGAUAAAAGGCCUUUGAGUAAGGAGAAACUUAAAGCUCUUUCAGCUGCAUUUGUUCUCAGGGAUAGUACUAACUCAUGCAGAUUUCGGUGGGCAGUGCAAUUUUUAGACUGUGAGAGAUGAACAACUUAUUUCAGAAAAAAUAGUGCUGCUGAAAUGAAACAAUUGGGGAGGCACACAGCAGCUUUCACACAGCGGUGUUGUUGAAUGCUUCAGGUAAGAAGGCAAGAAUAAACACCAGAUUAACAUCAGUCUGUGAAGGAAACUGAAGUGGGCAAAUUAAAACAAUACCUACCUGUAUUAAAUCAGGGCUUCUCCAUUCACUUGCAGAAAGGUAUUGUUAAAUAUUUCAUGACCCAUGGGUAAUCAAAAUUAGCCCUGUUUCCUGAAGCAAGGAGGGAUCACUUAAUUCCUACUUGUUCUGUUUAAUUCUAGGCCCAGGUGAGGAAGCUGGAAUUCAAAGCAGGUACAGCAGUUGCAAUUGAGUUCAAAUACUGCUGAGCUAAUUUUUAACUUGUUCUACAGUAAUCUUCUGAGCUUUUAAGUAAAGCUGAUCUGGGGAUAUGCUGUUGUCAGGUUAGGAUUUUGUCUGGGGCUGGCCAGUGGUGUCUAUUUCCCAGAGGAAGGAGUUACUUGUGCCUUCAAACUGUGUGGCUGUAUAAUGAAAGAUGUCAGCACUUCUUAAAACUGAAAACUGCAAGGAA
Non-coding RNA from Anas platyrhynchos (mallard), 4154 nucleotides. Lineage: Eukaryota; Metazoa; Chordata; Aves; Anseriformes; Anatidae. The record is from RefSeq and is a predicted model, not a curated record.